GACGAACGCUGGCGGUGUGCUUCACACAUGCAAGUCGAACGGGGUAGCAAUACCCAGUGGCGGACGGGUGAGUAACACGUGGGAAUCUGCCUUUAAGUGGGGGAUAACUGACCGAAAGGUUAGCUAAUACCGCAUAUGCCGCAAGGUAAAAGGAGCAAUUCGCUUGAAGAUGAGCCCGCGUCCGAUUAGCUAGUUGGUAGGGUAAAAGCCUACCAAGGCUGUGAUCGGUAGCUGGUCUGAGAGGACGAUCAGCCACAAUGGAACUGAGACACGGUCC
Molecule: ribosomal RNA, 277 nt
Filed under: uncultured bacterium
Lineage: Bacteria
Description: partial 16S ribosomal RNA
Rfam family: Bacterial small subunit ribosomal RNA
Source: RNAcentral